GGUUAAGCGACUAAGCGUACACGGUGGAUGCCCUGGCAGUCAGAGGCGAUGAAGGACGUGCUAAUCUGCGAAAAGCGCCGGCGAGGUGAUAUGAACCYUUGACCCGKCGAUGUCCGAAUGGGGAAACCCAGUGUGUUCCGACACACUAUCGUUAACUGAAUACAUAGGUUAACGAGGCGAACCGGGGGAACUGAAACAUCUAAGUACCCCGAGGAAAAGAAAUCAACCGAGAUUCCCCCAGUAGCGGCGAGCGAACGGGGAGCAGCCCGGAGUCUGAAUCAGCUUGUGUGUUAGUGGAACGGUCUGGAAAGUCCGACGGUACAGGGUGAUAGUCCCGUACACGAAAAUACACUUGCUGUGAACUCGAAGAGUAGGGCGGGACACGUGGUAUCCUGUCUGAAUAUGGGGGGACCAUCCUCCAAGGCUAAAUACUCCUGACUGACCGAUAGUGAACCAGUACCGUGAGGGAAAGGCGAAAAGAACCCCGGCGAGGGGAGUGAAAAAGAACCUGAAACCGUGUACGUACAAGCAGUGGGAGCACCUUCGGGUGUGACUGCGUACCUUUUGUAUAAUGGGUCAGCGACUUAUAUUCUGUAGCAAGGUUAACCGUAUAGGGGAGCCGAAGGGAAACCGAGUCUUAACUGGGCGUUAAGUUGCAGGGUAUAGACCCGAAACCCGGUGAUCUAGCCAUGGGCAGGUUGAAGGUUGGGUAACACUAACUGGAGGACCGAACCGACUAAUGUUGAAAAAUUAGCGGAUGACCUGUGGCUGGGGGUGAAAGGCCAAUCAAACCGGGAGAUAGCUGGUUCUCCCCGAAAGCUAUUUAGGUAGCGCCUCGUGAACUCAUC
This 848-nucleotide ribosomal RNA is filed under the name Enterobacter hormaechei. Its description in RNAcentral is "partial 23S ribosomal RNA". The record is from RNAcentral. Lineage: Bacteria; Pseudomonadati; Pseudomonadota; Gammaproteobacteria; Enterobacterales; Enterobacteriaceae.